This 60-nucleotide transfer RNA is filed under the name Megaustenia imperator imperator. Its description in RNAcentral is "tRNA-Ala". The record is from RNAcentral. Lineage: Eukaryota; Metazoa; Mollusca; Gastropoda; Stylommatophora; Ariophantidae.
GGGGGAAUACUUUAUUAAAGAAGACUUGAUUUGCAAUCAAUUAGUGAAUUACUUCUUCCU